CACCCAUAAAUCCUCCGUUGGCUCCUCGUAUUUUCCACCACGAUGUCAAAUAAAUUCCCAAAAAUUAUUUAAGCGCAUGAUUAAAUUAUCAUAACUAUUUCCCUUUUCAGUUAUAUUUAUUUCAAGACUUUGGAUAAAUUAUUUGUACAUCGAAUUAUGUCGAGAAUUAACUAAAUAAUUCGUCACUAUUAAUUUAAUUUUUAACUCCAAAAAUUUAUUUAGUUAUUGGCCCAAAGAUUUAAUUAAAAUCUCAAGACUUAAUUAUUUCCCCACCUUAUAUCUCCAACUACAAAUUAAAGCCCAACCAUUAAAUGGAGCCCAUCCUUAAUAAAUCAUCCAAUUUUAAUUUAAUAGGCCCACUUUCUUUAAACAAAACAAGGGCCCAAUCUGUUAAAAAUAUAACAGCCCAAUUUUACUCCCACCCCCCCUACGUCUCUGUCUUCCUCUCUCUCUCCUCUUCUCUUAUCUUCUCGCCCAAAUCGGGAGUUCCGGAAAUCUCCAUCGCCGUCGUCCGAUUCGUCUGCCGUCGCUGCCAGACGCCGGGAAGACGAAACGCCGUGGCUGCUGUACCGGUCAGUCGAACAGCAACGCGCCGCCGCUCCGUCGCCGCCUCUCAGCGGCAGGCUGCUGCUGCCGCUCGUCGGGAAGAUGCUGCUGUCGCCGCCGUCGGCAAUGGUUCGUUACAGCCGUCUUCAGCCGAGGCCCAGGGUCGUCGCUGCUGCUGUCGGCUUCUCCGCCGGUUCCGUCGCCCCGAUUUACUCCGAACAGCCCCGCAACCAACCCGAUUUCAACCGAACAGAUCGGUUCUCAUUCAAAAUUACGGAGGAUGAAUAUCUCAUUACGGAGGAGGAAGAUCUUUGCAGAAUCUUUAAUUAAAAAAUAAUUAAAGCCGAUUGGUGACCAAAUCAACCGGGAAAAUAAAUUAGCUUGGUUUAAUUCACGGUCCUUUGUAUUUUAUUUUAAAUUGUACAGUCAACAAUUCGUUUAUCACGGACUGAACUUUUAUAUUAAUUAUUUAAUUUAUCGGAUCCAACACGGAAUUGAGUCCAAUAAAUAUAUUCCUCA
Long non-coding RNA from Salvia splendens (bonfire salvia), 1065 nucleotides. RefSeq lists it as uncharacterized. The record is from RefSeq and is a predicted model, not a curated record. NCBI's taxonomy places the organism in Eukaryota, Viridiplantae, Streptophyta, Magnoliopsida, Lamiales, Lamiaceae. The transcript has 2 exons.